CUCGAUGUCGGCUCAUCGCAUCCUGGGGCUGUAGUCGGUCCCAAGGGUUGGGCUGUUCGCCCAUUAAAGCGGUACGCGAGCUGGGUUCAGAACGUCGUGAGACAGUUCGGUCCCUAUCCGUCGUGGGCGUAGGAAAUUUGAGAGGAGCUGUCCUUAGUACGAGAGGACCGGGAUGGACAUACCUCUGGUGUACCAGUUGUCGUGCCAACGGCAUAGCUGGGUAGCUAUGUGUGGACGGGAUAAGUGCUGAAAGCAUCUAAGCAUGAAGCCCCCCUCAAGAUGAGAUUUCCCAACUUCGGUUAUAAGAUCCCUCAAAGAUGAUGAGGUUAAUAGGUUCGAGGUGGAAGCAUGGUGACAUGUGGAGCUGACGAAUACUAAUCGAUCGAAGACUUAAUCAA
Molecule: ribosomal RNA, 398 nt
Filed under: Staphylococcus aureus
Lineage: Bacteria; Bacillati; Bacillota; Bacilli; Caryophanales; Staphylococcaceae
Description: partial 23S ribosomal RNA
Rfam family: Bacterial large subunit ribosomal RNA
Source: RNAcentral